UAAGGAAUAUUGGUCAAUGGACGCAAGUCUGAACCAGCCAUGCCGCGUGAAGGAUUAAGGCCCUCUGGGUUGUAAACUUCUUUUAUAGGGGAAGAAAUGUGACGGUUCUCCGUCACUUGACGGUACCCUGAGGAAUAAGCACCGGCUAACUUCGUGCCAGCAGCCGCGGUAAUACGAAGGGUGCAAGCGUUAAUCGGAAUUACUGGGCGUAAAGGGUGCGUAGGCGGUUAGUUAAGUCUGUUGUGAAAUCCCCGGGCUCAACCUGGGGAUGGCAAUGGAUACUGGCUAGCUAGAGUGUGUCAGAGGAUGGUGGAAUUCCCGGUGUAGCGGUGAAAUGCGUAGAGAUCGGGAGGAACAUCAGUGGCGAAGGCGGCCAUCUGGGACAACACUGACGCUGAAGCACGAAAGCGUGGGGAGCAAACA
RNAcentral lists this ribosomal RNA (423 nucleotides) under uncultured bacterium. RNAcentral's name for it is "bacterial SSU rRNA". It matches the Rfam family "Bacterial small subunit ribosomal RNA", at positions 355 to 774 of the family's 1533-position model. The record is from RNAcentral.